Molecule: ribosomal RNA, 1437 nt
Filed under: metagenome
Description: bacterial SSU rRNA
Rfam family: Archaeal small subunit ribosomal RNA
Source: RNAcentral
UACAGCUAUCGGGGUGGGACUAAGACAUGCGAGUCGGGCGUCUCUAGCUAUGUUGAGACGCGGCAGACGGCUCAGUAACACGUGGCUAACCUACCCUCAGGACGAGGAUAAACCCGGGAAACUGGGGCUAAUACUCGAUAGGUGAGGAUGUCUGGAAUGACUUCUCUCCUAAAAGACUUGGAUACAUGCUUCCAAUGUCGCCUGGGGAUGGGGCCGCGUCCGAUCAGGUUGUUGGUGAGGUAAUGGCUCACCAAGCCUAUAACCGGUACGGGCCGUGAGAGCGGUAGCCCGGAGAUGGGUACUGAGACAAGGACCCAGGCCCUACGGGGCGCAGCAGUCGCGAAAACUCCGCAAUGCACGAAAGUGUGACGGGGCUACCCCGAGUGCCACCCGCUGAGGGUGGCUUUUCUUUGGUAUAAUUAGCCAUUGGAAUAAGGAGAGGGCAAGACUGGUGUCAGCCGCCGCGGUAAUACCAGCUCUCCGAGUGGUAGGGAUGAUUAUUGGGCUUAAAGCGUCCGUAGCCGGCUUAGCAAGUUUCCUGUUAAAUUCAGCGACUCAAUCGUUGAAUCGCGGGAAAUACUACUAGGCUAGAGGCGGGAGAGGUCGACGGUACUUCUGGGGUAGGGGUGAAAUCCUAUAACCCCAGGAGGACCACCAGUGGCGAAGGCUGUCGACUAGAACGCGCUCGACGGUGAGGGACGAAAGCUGGGGGAGCGAACCGGAUUAGAUACCCGGGUAGUCCCAGCCGUAAACGAUGCGAGCUAGGUGUUGGGAUGGCUACGUGCCAUUCCAGUGCCGCAGGGAAGCCAUUAAGCUCGCCGCCUGGGGAGUACGGCCGCAAGGCUGAAACUUAAAGGAAUUGGCGGGGGAGCACCACAAGGCGUGAAGCUUGCGGUUCAAUUGGAGUCAACGCCGGGAACCUUACCGGGGGCGACAGCAGAAUGAAGGCCAGAUUGAAGGUCUUGCUAGACAAGCUGAGAGGAGGUGCAUGGCCGUCGCCAGUUCGUGCCGUGAGGUGUCCUGUUAAGUCAGGCAACGAUCGAGACCCACGCCUUUAGUUGCUACUGAGGAAGUUUUCCGAGGGGCACUCUAAAGGGACUGCCGUCGAUAAGACGGAGGAAGGAGUGGGCUACGGCAGGUCAGUAUGCCCCGAAUCCCCCGGGCUACACGCGAGCUGCAAUGGCAGAGACAAUGGGUUCCGACCCUGAAAAGGGAAGGCAAUCUCGAAACUCUGCCUCAGUUUGGAUUGAAGGCUGGAACCCGCCUUCAUGAAAAUGGAAUGCCUAGUAAUCGCGCGUCAUCAACGCGCGGUGAAUACGUCCCCGCUCCUUGCACACACCGCCCGUCGCUCCAUCCGAGUGGGGUUUGGGUGAGGCGUGGUCUUCUUGGCUGCGUCGAAUCUGAGUUCCGCAAGGAGGGAGAAGUCGUAACAAGGUG